AUUGAACGCUGGCGGCGUGCUUAACACAUGCAAGUCGUGCGAGAAAGGAACCUUCGGGUUCUGAGUAGAGCGGCGCACGGGUGAGUAACGCGCGGAUCAUCUGCCCAAACGUUCGGGAUAACGGCGGGAAACUGCCGCUAAUACCGGAUACGCUCCAAUUUCGGUUGGAGGAAAGGCGGCCUCUGCUUGCAAGCUGUCGCAUUUGGAUGAGUCCGCGUCCCAUUAGCUUGUUGGUGGGGUAAUGGCCUACCAAGGCUACGAUGGGUAGCUGGUCUGAGAGGAUGAUCAGCCACACUGGAACUGAAACACGGUCCAGACUCCUACGGGAGGCAGCAGUGGGGAAUAUUGCGCAAUGGGGGAAACCCUGACGCAGCGACGCCGUGUGAGGGAAGAAGGCUUUCGGGUCGUAAACCUCUGUCGGGAAGGAAGAACCCCCCAAGUCCGAAUAGGGCUUGGGGCUGACGGUACUUCCAAAGGAAGCACCGGCUAACUCCGUGCCAGCAGCCGCGGUAAUACGGAGGGUGCAAGCGUUAAUCGGAAUCACUGGGCGUAAAGCGCGCGUAGGCGGCUUUUUAAGUCGGACGUGAAAGCCCUCGGCUCAACCGGGGAAUUGCGUUCGAAACUGGGAGGCUUGAGUCCUGGAGAGGGUGGCGGAAUUCCGGGUGUAGGAGUGAAAUCCGUAGAUAUCCGGAGGAACACCGGUGGCGAAGGCGGCCACCUGGACAGGUACUGACGCUGAGGCGCGAAAGCGUGGGGAGCAAACA
Molecule: ribosomal RNA, 764 nt
Filed under: Desulfovibrio sp. enrichment culture clone MGLB2-30
Lineage: Bacteria; Pseudomonadati; Thermodesulfobacteriota; Desulfovibrionia; Desulfovibrionales; Desulfovibrionaceae
Description: bacterial SSU rRNA
Rfam family: Bacterial small subunit ribosomal RNA
Source: RNAcentral